AUGAUUUGCAGCUGUGUAGUUCACUCUCAGGCUGCGCAGUGUGGCAGCCCACAUACCUACACCAUCCUCAGCCCAGGCUGCCACCAGGAGGGAAACACUGAGGCACAAGACCGCUGUCUACAGAAUUUCCUUCUGAAAGCUACACCCCUUCCCUCUAAGAGUACCCAGAGUGGCAAGUGCAUCCUUUUCAAGAGCCGUAUUCCAUUGCUCAGUUGCCUUCCUGCUUUAUCACUUUGGGCACGUGUGGUAGUUGAAGACGAUGGACUUUGCGUGGGAUUUCUAGAACAUUUGCUUUCUUUCCAGCUCUGUGAUGAAGUGGGAAUUAAGCAGCAUGCCAUCCUACCACCACUCCUCACCACUGACAGGUGUUUUCGCAUGAGGCCUUGUUUGUUAGGACCACGGGAGGUCCUUUGUUCUGGAGGCAGGAGAGCCCAUGGAACAAAUAAACACUUGCUCAAGAAAAGGUUUGUUACAUAGCAGAGGCUGAUGUGAGGGGAUACUAAGUGCUGAAUCUUAGGAUCAUUGAAUCAUUAAGGUUGGAAAAGGCCUCCAAGAUCAUCACCAACCAGUAUUGCCCACAUCUUGCUUCCUGUAGACAUAUCACAGAAUAGGUUUCUCAAGGUGGGUAUUGUUAUCAGUAUUUUUAAAAGUGUCCUUGUCCUAGAAAAGUUGGCCAAAAUGCUGUUGAGGUGUACAUAUUAUAUUAUUUUGUGUUUUCCUUUCUGACUGAUAAUUAAUAGCAUGAAUAACGUGGGAAACUUUAUUCCAGAUUCUGAAACAGUCGUUAAAUAAGGAAUCAAAGACUUCUCACAAAGAGAUCCGCAUUUGUGUGCACACAGAAACACAAGCUUUCCUUUUGCCAUUUGUCAGCCAGAGGCACAGAAUGGGUAACAUGGUGAAAAAAUCUAUUCUGUUAAAUACUACACAGGGAAGGCUCAAACAUGAGAAGGAGAGCAGCCUAAGGUGUGGCGAUACAGAUACAAAAACGCAUGUGUAUCGUAAAAAGCAUUUGACUGUAGAGGAAGGAAUCAACACAUUUAAUGUUAAGCUGAUUUGGAAAGGUUAUAAUGAACAAACGGCAGUAAUGUUUAGCAUUACAAUGGGUGCCAGCUUCCCUGGAACAAUCUUCAAGUCUGUCAGCAGUAAGUAUGUAUGCUUUCCACUGUUGUUACACGCCUAUCUUCAUGUAACUCUCUGUUUGAUUCACAUUUACUAGAUGCC
RNAcentral lists this long non-coding RNA (1221 nucleotides) under Numida meleagris (helmeted guineafowl). Its description in RNAcentral is "lncRNA (ENSNMEG00000010138.1)". Lineage: Eukaryota; Metazoa; Chordata; Aves; Galliformes; Numididae. The record is from RNAcentral.